This 1091-nucleotide long non-coding RNA is filed under the name Prunus dulcis (almond). RNAcentral describes it as "sRNA ncRNA". Lineage: Eukaryota; Viridiplantae; Streptophyta; Magnoliopsida; Rosales; Rosaceae. The record is from RNAcentral.
AUGAGAAAAGGGUUCAAUAGCUUGUCUCCCCCAUCCUCCGAGUGCUGUAUCUACAGAGUUCCUCAACGACUACGAAGUGUGAAUGAAAAGCUCUGCACACCUCAGGUGGUCUCUAUAGGCCCACUUCACCAUGGAAAGGAAGGCUUGAAUGUCGUAUAGGAAGAGCACAAACAGAGAUACCUGCAAGAUUUUAUAGGUCGGACCAAUGUGAGUUUGGAGGAUUAUAUUAAGAAAAUAAAGGACCACGAAGCAAGAUUGAGACGUUGUUAUGGAGAACCCAUCAAGUUUAGCAGUGAUGAAUUUGUAACAAUCAUUCUAGUGGAUGCCGCCUUCGUUAUUGAGCUCUUAUUGAAGGACUACUUCAAAUUUUGGGAUGAAAAUGACCGCAUAUUUGACAAACCAGGUAUGUUGCAAGAUGUAUGGACAGAUAUGUGGUUGCUUGAAAAUCAGUUGCCAUUCUUAAUUCUCGAGGAUCUUUUCGACCCACAGAAAAUUACACUCCCUGCUGAUGCUGACAAUAACUGCAUUACUGAGGGGCUUUCAAUAAUUAGUCUUUCUUUCAGUUUCUUCGAACAUCUAUUGCCUGUUGACAAAAUGGAAGACAAUUUGGAGACUUUUAGAUCAGUGGCACAUAUUGUUGAUCUUUUCAGGAAAAUAUUUAAACUCUAUCAACCGUUGGAAUCAAAAGCUGGAGGGGAACUCCCAUCAUCCAUACCCAGCUUGACAGAAUUACAGCACGCUGGAGUCAAGUUUGAGGCGCGACAAGGUGAAAACAUAUUUGACAUACAAUUCAGUAGCACCAAUGGGGUUCUGAAGAUCCCACCAUUUCCAUUGGGGUUCACUACAGAAAUAAUGAGAAAUGUCCUUGCCUUUGAACAAUUGCAUUACCCGAUGAGUAAUGAUAAUUACACAUGAGUCAGUAUGUUUCCUUAAUGGGUGGUUUGGUGAAAACCUCAGGGGAUGUGGAGUUGCUUAUUGAGUAUGGAAUCGCAUAUUCUGAGAGAUAUCUGAUACGCGGAAACAUUGAGGGGUUUACUUCAUUAUUAGUUAACAGCCUUUUCAUUGGGGUUCCUAUAGAUGUUGAUAACUUC